Molecule: long non-coding RNA, 538 nt
Organism: Mytilus trossulus (common blue mussel)
Lineage: Eukaryota; Metazoa; Mollusca; Bivalvia; Mytilida; Mytilidae
Exons: 3
Source: RefSeq, a predicted model, not a curated record
UGAGUGCACUUUGUAUGCCCGGCAUGUGUGCACCCAGGAGGUCCUCCUGAGCGGUGUUUAGACGUACCGGGAAAAUCUUAUCUGAUUCAGGAUCAAUUCAUCGGUUACACUCCCCUGUCACCAGUGAUUCUUUUUUGCUGACAUUCUGAAAAAGUAUUGUGUAGUCCCUGUGGCAAGAACAUGAAAGAUAAAGGAGAAACUAUAAACAGAAGAAAUUAUCAACAAAAUAAGAUUUACAGAGGUCAACAAAGCCUAAAUGGUCAGACAUCUCGAUUUUCAUGGUCAUCAUUUACAGAUCAAUACCGAACGGAAAACUUAAAGCUGGUAUUUUUCUCCAUAGUGUGACUUUUUUAUUAAUUUGAAAUGGAACAUGUUUUUUCCUACAUUUAUUUGGAAGAAGAAAUUUCAACAUGAUGACUAUAAACAAAAAGGAGUCAUAUCAUCACAAUCAUUGAUGCACAAGAACUUGAUCAUAUAAAUACAACAAUGUAAUUAUCAAUUGAAAGAUGGAACGAAUGAACUAGAUAUUAGAAUGUUG